RNAcentral lists this ribosomal RNA (442 nucleotides) under uncultured bacterium. RNAcentral's name for it is "partial 16S ribosomal RNA". It matches the Rfam family "Bacterial small subunit ribosomal RNA", at positions 338 to 795 of the family's 1533-position model. The record is from RNAcentral.
CCUACGGGAGGCAGCAGUGGGGAAUAUUGGGCAAUGGGCGAAAGCCUGACCCAGCAACGCCGCGUGAAGGAAGAAGGCUUUCGGGUUGUAAACUUCUUUUGACAGGGAAGAGUAGAAGACGGUACCUGACGAAUAAGCCACGGCUAACUACGUGCCAGCAGCCGCGGUAAUACGUAGGUGGCAAGCGUUGUCCGGAUUUACUGGGUGUAAAGGGCGUGUAGCCGGGUUGACAAGUCAGAUGUGAAAUCCUGCGGCUUAACCGCAGAACUGCAUUUGAAACUGUUGAUCUUGAGUACUGGAGAGGCAGACGGAAUUCCUAGUGUAGCGGUGAAAUGCGUAGAUAUUAGGAGGAACACCAGUGGCGAAGGCGGUCUGCUGGACAGCAACUGACGGUGAGGCGCGAAAGCGUGGGGAGCAAACAGGAUUAGAUACCCCAGUAGUC